CCUACGGGAGGCAGCAGUGGGGAAUAUUGCACAAUGGGGGAAACCCUGAUGCAGCAACGCCGCGUGAGUGAUGACGGCCUUCGGGUUGUAAAGCUCUGUCUUCGGGGACGAUAAUGACGGUACCGGAGGAGGAAGCCACGGCUAACUACGUGCCAGCAGCCGCGGUAAU
This 169-nucleotide ribosomal RNA is filed under the name uncultured Clostridium sp. Its description in RNAcentral is "partial 16S ribosomal RNA". It matches the Rfam family "Bacterial small subunit ribosomal RNA", at positions 338 to 524 of the family's 1533-position model. Lineage: Bacteria; Bacillati; Bacillota; Clostridia; Eubacteriales; Clostridiaceae. The record is from RNAcentral.